AGUGGUUCAGCCUUUUGGCUAAGAUGAAGCGUAGGUAUCUGCUCUUAUCAGUUCAUCGUCUGAUAUGUCCUCUCUCUGAGGACAGCAUAUUUUUUUAAAGUGCUGACUUCUA
This 112-nucleotide small nuclear RNA is filed under the name Myotis brandtii (Brandt's bat). Its description in RNAcentral is "U2 spliceosomal RNA". It matches the Rfam family "U2 spliceosomal RNA". From Rfam's summary of the family: U2 is a small nuclear RNA (snRNA) component of the spliceosome (involved in pre-mRNA splicing). Complementary binding between U2 snRNA (in an area lying towards the 5' end but 3' to hairpin I) and the branchpoint sequence (BPS) of the intron results the bulging out of an unpaired adenosine, on the BPS, which initiates a nucleophilic attack at the intronic 5' splice site, thus starting the first of two transesterification reactions that mediate splicing. The record is from Rfam by way of RNAcentral. Lineage: Eukaryota; Metazoa; Chordata; Mammalia; Chiroptera; Vespertilionidae.